GAUGAACGCUGACAGAAUGCUUAACACAUGCAAGUCGAAGGGGAAGUGGUGCUUGCACCAUGGUAACCAUGGCGGACGGGGGAGUAACGCGUAAGGAACUUACCUGCGGGACCGGGAUAACAGCAGGAAACUGCUGACAAGACCGGAUAAGGUCAUUAAGCUGCAUAGCUUAGUGAUGAAAGGAGACGCCUGCGGAGAGCCUUGCGUCCUAUUAGCUAGUUGGAGGGGUAACGGCCCACCAAGGCGAAGAUAGGUAGCCGGCCUGAGAGGGUGGACGGCCACUAGGGGACUGAGAUACGGCCCUUACUCCUACGGGAGGCAGCAGUGGGGAAUAUUGGACAAUGGGGGCAACCCUGAUCCAGCAAUUCUGUGUGCACGAAGACGGUUUUCGGAUUGUAAAGUGCUUUCAGCAGGGAAGAAGGAAGUGACGGUACCUGCAGAAGAAGCGACGGCUAACUACGUG
RNAcentral lists this ribosomal RNA (463 nucleotides) under uncultured bacterium. Its description in RNAcentral is "partial 16S ribosomal RNA". It matches the Rfam family "Bacterial small subunit ribosomal RNA", at positions 28 to 507 of the family's 1533-position model. The record is from RNAcentral.